AGGCAUAUAUCAAGUACAACUGGAGAGUAGUGUGUCGAAUUGUGUUUUAGUGUUCAGGAUGUGAUUAAUAACAGGUGAAAUAUUGUAAAUGAAUGGCUAUGUGUGGUGGUAGAGAAUGGAAAAUUUUUCGUUUUGUAAAAGAAAAAGAAACCAAGAAAGUUUUUUCGAGAACAUGUGGACGAUUGGCAUGCAUUCAGUAGAUGCGUUGUUUUAUGUGUUCAAUAACUAAAGCCUGCAAAC
This 240-nucleotide long non-coding RNA is filed under the name Sorghum bicolor (sorghum). RNAcentral's name for it is "long non-coding RNA (SBIC_LNC009921)". Lineage: Eukaryota; Viridiplantae; Streptophyta; Magnoliopsida; Poales; Poaceae. The record is from RNAcentral.